This is a long non-coding RNA of Gorilla gorilla gorilla (western lowland gorilla), 797 nucleotides long. RefSeq lists it as uncharacterized. The transcript is spliced from 4 exons. NCBI's taxonomy places the organism in Eukaryota, Metazoa, Chordata, Mammalia, Primates, Hominidae. The record is from RefSeq and is a predicted model, not a curated record.
CAGAGUUUCACUCUUGUUGCCCAAGCUGGAGUGCAAUGGCACAAUCUCGGCUCACUGCAACCUCUGCCUCCCAGGUUCAAAUGAUUCUCCUGCCUCAGCCUCCCAAGUAGCUAGGAUUACAGGCUGCGCUCGGCUCACACUACCAACCAGGAUCCCUCCCCUGCCGAGGGAGACUGCAUGAAGUGCAGAAUGAAAAGUCCUCCAGAGCAGAGAUUUUUAUUCAUCAGUGUCUCCCAGCACUUACUACCUAGUAGAUCUUAAGACAAAUGUGUUGAAUGAAUGCAUGAAAUAAAAGAAAAGAAGAUAUGAAGUAUUAAGCACAUUGCCUGGCCCAUAGCAGGCAUUGAUCCUGAGAGUUCUCCCCAGCAAACUUCCAGCAUACAAAUAGGCGCCUCAGAGGCGCCUCAUCCUAAGACAGUGUGGAGCAGACAGGGAAGCUGAAGCCUGGAGACCAUCUGAGAAGACGGUGAGCAAAAGCCAUGAGGUACCAGACACUACGGUCUCACAGAAGUCAUUCCGAGGUCAGGAGCCACAGAUUAAAAAUGAGAAAAAAAAAGUAGACGGGGUCAAGUCACUUUCUCAACGUAUCCUGAACAUCAGUUGAAGUAACGAGAAGUUGUUUUCCCUUCCUGCCAACUGGAAAGAGCCUCAGGACCACACUCAGCCAGGCACCAGAGCUGGGCAUCUGCCUUGUGUCUGUCUUGUCCUUCCACUUCCCUUGACCCUUGGACCAGUGACAGGGACACUCUGCCUACAUUUGUCAGCCUCUCCCUUUGAGGAACUGGCCAACGUUCUCU